GCCGCGUGCGGGAUGACGGCCUUCGGGUUGUAAACCGCUUUCAGCAGGGACGAAAGGGCACCUUGACAGUACCUGCGCAACAGGCACCGGCUAACUACCUGCCACCGGCCGCGGAGAUGCGUACGGUGCGAGCGUUGUCCGGAAUUAUUGGGCGUAAAGAGCUUGUUGGCGGUCUGUUGCGUCAAAUCUGAAAACUCAGGGCUUAACCCUGACCCUGCUUUCGAUACGGGCAGACCUGAGGGAUGUAGGGGAGAACGGAAUUCCUGGUGGAGAUGUGGAAUGCGCAGAUAUAACGAGGAACACCAAUGGCGAAAGCAGUUCUCUGGACGUUUCCUGACUCUGAGAACCGAAAGCGUGGGGAGCAAACAAGCUUAGAUACCCUGGUAGUCCACGCCAUAAACGGUGGGCACUAGGUGUGGGUUCCAUUCCAGGGAAUCCGUGCCCAAUCUAACGCAUUACGUGCCCCGCCGGGGGAGUAAUGCCGCAUGGAUAAAACUCACAGGAAUUGACGGGAGCCCGCAAAAACGGCGGAUCAUGCGGAUUAAUUCGAUGCAACUUAAAUAACCUUAACUGGGUUUGACAUAUGCCGGAGACACCUAUA
Molecule: ribosomal RNA, 601 nt
Filed under: Propionibacteriaceae bacterium Se1Pw_3069
Lineage: Bacteria; Bacillati; Actinomycetota; Actinomycetes; Propionibacteriales; Propionibacteriaceae
Description: bacterial SSU rRNA
Rfam family: Bacterial small subunit ribosomal RNA
Source: RNAcentral